RNAcentral lists this non-coding RNA (29 nucleotides) under Rattus norvegicus (Norway rat). The record is from RNAcentral. Lineage: Eukaryota; Metazoa; Chordata; Mammalia; Rodentia; Muridae.
UGCACUAUGCGGAGCUCUUCUGCACUUUG